This 349-nucleotide unclassified non-coding RNA is filed under the name soil metagenome. Its description in RNAcentral is "partial contains 5.8S ribosomal RNA, internal transcribed spacer 2, and large subunit ribosomal RNA". The stretch from base 2 to 119 matches the Rfam family "5.8S ribosomal RNA", at positions 37 to 154 of the family's 154-position model. The record is from RNAcentral.
GUGAAGAACGUAGCGAAAUGCGAUAAGUAAUGUGAAUUGCAGAAUUCAGUGAAUCAUCGAAUCUUUGAACGCACAUUGCGCCCGCCAGUAUUCUGGCGGGCAUGCCUGUUCGAGCGUCAUUUCAACCCUCAAGCCCAGCUUGGUGUUGGGGAUCGGCACAGGCGCCCUCGGGCGCCCGCCGUCCCCUAAAUCUAGUGGCGGUCCCGCUGCAGCCUCCUCUGCGUAGUAGUUUUCUCCUCGCAAGGGCAGCUCGGUGGCGACCUCGCCGUAAAACCCCCAACUUCUGAAAGGUUGACCUCGAAUCAGGUAGGAAUACCCGCUGAACUUAAGCAUAUCAAUAAGCGGAGGA